CCUUUACAUGGAAGUGUUUCAUCUGUGAAAGAGGUUCUCCAUGCCACCCACCUGAAUUCAAUACCUAAAUUUAUGGGUGUGAUAAAAGAAGAGUCUUUCUUUUAAUACAUCUCUUUAUUUCCUACUCCAUUUAUUUCUUUCACACACCAUUAAUAUGUGAUAUUUAUGGUUGUGAAAGAGGAGUUUUUCUACACUUGGAACUCCUCCACACCAUUUAUUCUUGCAUGAGGAUUCAUUUCCCUAUGUGAGAAGGUGGAGCUCUAAGAGUUGGCACCCCUUAGGAGACCCAUGUACCUCUUCAUUUCUUAUUUAUAGGAGACACCCCCUAU
This 329-nucleotide long non-coding RNA is filed under the name Elaeis guineensis (African oil palm). RNAcentral's name for it is "long non-coding RNA (EGUI_LNC040493)". Lineage: Eukaryota; Viridiplantae; Streptophyta; Magnoliopsida; Arecales; Arecaceae. The record is from RNAcentral.